AGCUCCGCGAGUGGUCGGGACGAUUAUUGGGCCUAAAGCGUCCGUAGCCGGCCUAACAAGUCUCUGGUUAAACUUCAAGGCUUAACCUUGAGAUUGCUGGAGAUACUGUUAGGCUAGGAGGCGGGAGAGGUUGAGGGUACUUCACGGGUAGGGGCGAAAUCCUAUAAUCCGUGAAGGACCACCAGUGGCGAAGGCGCUCAACUGGAACGCGCUCGACGGUGAGGGACGAAAGCCAGGGGAGUAAAGG
Molecule: ribosomal RNA, 247 nt
Filed under: uncultured crenarchaeote
Lineage: Archaea; Thermoproteati; Thermoproteota
Description: partial 16S ribosomal RNA
Rfam family: Archaeal small subunit ribosomal RNA
Source: RNAcentral